This is a long non-coding RNA of Chiloscyllium plagiosum (whitespotted bambooshark), 861 nucleotides long. RefSeq lists it as uncharacterized. The record is from RefSeq and is a predicted model, not a curated record. Lineage: Eukaryota; Metazoa; Chordata; Chondrichthyes; Orectolobiformes; Hemiscylliidae.
UGGGUCCUUGGCGCUGCGAGGCAGCAGUGCUAACCAUUGAGCCACUAGGCCACCCGAACAUUCAAGAAGAUAGAAUGCAUCUGCCUUAAACUUUUGUCCAACUUCCAGCUCACCCUUAUUCCAUUUUCUGGCAAGAUGUGAAAACUUCAGAUGGUGUGGCCAUAGGGAACUUGCUUUCUUCUCCAAUGCUCCUUUCUAAUGCCAACCCUCCCCUUCUGCAUUUAUGUUUCCAAAUAUCCAAGAACUGCUUCCUAACCGGUCAUUGCAGCUCCAUAAGAACAGGAUAUUUGUGUCACUGGAUAGCAUUUAUUACCCACCCCUAAUUACCUAGAGGGCAAUUAAGGAUCAAGUACACUGUUGUGGGUCUCAAUUCACAUAUUGGACAAACCAGUCCAAAGAAGACCUAACAUUAAAGAAAGCCAUUCAGAUGGUGAGUGAAGCAGAGGUCCAAAACAAACACAGAUUAAUCCCAAGAGGAGAAGAUCAAACCUAGCACAGAAGGUCAUCAAAAUUCAUUCAAUUCAUAAGAAGAUGUGCUGAAGCAGGACACAGCCAAAGGAAAGCAAAAGAGAAAUGAGGUAGAACAAUCUCCAGUAGAAGACUUACCCAAAGUUUACUGGUAGAAAUUGGUGACCCAGACCUAAUGUUUGACAAGCUAUUUCUAUUAAUUAACAUCUCAUGAAUAUCUCAAAGUAGAUGCCAUCAGAAAUAACGCAAUAGUAUCACAAGGUGAGCCUUCUGUUACUGAUAGAAGUGCAAUUAUAUGGUCUAUGGCAUGUAACACUUAAUGUUAAAGAUAAACUUCAACAUCCCUUCAACAUGGAGAAUACCAAAUAUCAAAAUAAACUAUAUGUACUUCAA